RNAcentral lists this ribosomal RNA (497 nucleotides) under uncultured bacterium. RNAcentral describes it as "partial 16S ribosomal RNA". It matches the Rfam family "Bacterial small subunit ribosomal RNA", at positions 28 to 507 of the family's 1533-position model. The record is from RNAcentral.
GAUGAACGCUGGCGGCGUGCCUAAUACAUGCAAGUCGAGCGAACGGACGAGAAGCUUGCUUCUCUGAUGUUAGCGGCGGACGGGUGAGUAACACGUGGAUAACCUACCUAUAAGACUGGGAUAACUUCGGGAAACCGGAGCUAAUACCGGAUAAUAUUUUGAACCGCAUGGUUCAAAAGUGAAAGACGGUCUUGCUGUCACUUAUAGAUGGAUCCGCGCUGCAUUAGCUAGUUGGUAAGGUAACGGCUUACCAAGGCAACGAUGCAUAGCCGACCUGAGAGGGUGAUCGGCCACACUGGAACUGAGACACGGUCCAGACUCCUACGGGAGGCAGCAGUAGGGAAUCUUCCGCAAUGGGCGAAAGCCUGACGGAGCAACGCCGCGUGAUUGAUGAAGGUCUUCGGAUCGUAAAACUCUGUUAUUAGGGAAGAACAUAUGUGUAAGCAACUGUGCACAUCUUGACGGUACCUAAUCAGAAAGCCACGGCUAACUACGUG